ACGGGUGAGUAAUGUCUGGGAAACUGCCUGAUGGAGGGGGAUAACUACUGGAAACGGUAGCUAAUACCGCAUAACGUCGCAAGACCAAUGAGGGGGACCUUAGGGCCUCUUGCCAUCGGAUGUGCCCAGAUGGGAUUAGCUAGUAGGUGGGGUAACGGCUCACCUAGGCGACGAUCCCUAGCUGGUCUGAGAGGAUGACCAGCCACACUGGAACUGAGACACGGUCCAG
Molecule: ribosomal RNA, 229 nt
Filed under: uncultured bacterium
Lineage: Bacteria
Description: partial 16S ribosomal RNA
Rfam family: Bacterial small subunit ribosomal RNA
Source: RNAcentral